CAGCAGUCGCCGCGGGAAUACAGAGGGUGCAAGCGUUAAUCGGAAUUACUGGGCGUAAAGCGUGCGUAGGCGGCUAAUUGAGUCGGAUGUGAAAUCCCCGAGCUUAACUUGGGAAUUGCAUUCGAUACUGGUUAGCUAGAGUGUGGGAGAGGAUGGUAGAAUUCCAGGUGUAGCGGUGAAAUGCGUAGAGAUCUGGAGGAAUACCGAUGGCGAAGGCAGCCAUCUGGCCUAACACUGACGCUGAGGUACGAAAGCAUGGGGAGCAAACAGGAUUAGAUACCCCGGUAGUCCCUGUCUCUUAUAC
RNAcentral lists this ribosomal RNA (304 nucleotides) under uncultured bacterium. RNAcentral's name for it is "partial 16S ribosomal RNA". It matches the Rfam family "Bacterial small subunit ribosomal RNA", at positions 509 to 807 of the family's 1533-position model. The record is from RNAcentral.